RNAcentral lists this long non-coding RNA (1026 nucleotides) under Helianthus annuus (common sunflower). RNAcentral's name for it is "hypothetical non coding rna". Lineage: Eukaryota; Viridiplantae; Streptophyta; Magnoliopsida; Asterales; Asteraceae. The record is from RNAcentral.
CCAAAAACUAGGCUGAUGCAGUAACAUGAACAACAUUACUAUAGGAUCUAAUUAGUACAUUAUCAUCUCCAAGUCACAUACGGUAGAAUGCGACUUCAAAUGUAUUAUGAUCCUAAUCACCUACCGAAAACGGGGCAGAGAAUGAUAGUUCGCAGCCACAUACCCCCACCAGAAACUGCAGUAUCCUUUAAAGCUCAGAAAAACGUCAUAAACCGCCCAACCAGUUGAGCAGCUGAAUCUUCAAGAAGACUCAAUAGCCGCAGUAGAAACAUCCACUGCAGCAGUUGAGUCAUUCUAAUGAUACACCUUAUGUGAGAAGGUGGUAAAAGAGAAGUAUCGUUCUCCUCCCCACAAAGUCUUCUCACUAUGUGUACAUAAUUUAAAGCUGAGAAAAACGUCAUGUUGAAAGAAGUCCCGAAUAAUCUUCUGAUGCACGUAAACUGCUUCAUACUCUCUCAAUUUACAUUUACAAAAUUAGCUUCAUACUCUCACAAGUUACAUUUACGAAACCUCCAUGUUGCUAGGUAAUUUAAACAUCAAAAUGAUUGUCUUCAUACUCACAGAAGGUGUUUCACUACUUAGCCAUACAAGUUUCUGUUUCUUAUAGCAAAACACGACCAAAUUAAUAUAGCAAAACACAGCGAAGUUCUUUUAACCUUUAUGUCCAAAACAGCGAAGCUAUUUAACCUGGUGGUUAAAAUCAGCGAAGUUCUUGAAGAUUGCUAUUAAAAACAGUGAAGUUAUUUAACCAUGUGGUUAAAAUCAGUGAAGUUUAUGAAGAUUGCUGUUAAAAACAGCGAAGUUAUUUAACCAGGUGGUUAAAAUCAGCGAAGUUCAUGUAGUUUGCUAUUAAAAACAACGAAGUUUAUGUACUUGGCUGUUUAAAACAGCAAGGUUAUGAAGAUGGUGCUUAAAAACAGCGAGCUUUCGAACACUCUGCUGAAUAAAACAACGAAGUACCUAAGAAUGCUUGUUUUCUUGGUUGGCACCUGAAGGUAAUCUUUGGGGGCUCAAACCCCCUAUUCU